Pogonomyrmex barbatus (red harvester ant) is the source of this 917-nucleotide long non-coding RNA. Lineage: Eukaryota; Metazoa; Arthropoda; Insecta; Hymenoptera; Formicidae. The record is from RefSeq and is a predicted model, not a curated record.
UUUUCCGUAAGGGGUGUCACGUAUAUUAUAUAUUUUCAGUACUAGCAGUCAAUAUCGAAACGCAAUCAUAAUUUUGUCGACAUCUUGCUACGUGGGAUAUAUUGAGGAUAUACUAGACAAGCUAAUUGCAUACUGUAGAUAUAUUCAGUAUAUCUCCAUAAAUUAUCAGCGAAAACGGGUAUGGUAAUACGUCUACGGGAUAAGAUGAAUCAACAAAUAUUUCUAGUGAAAAAUGGAUGACAUUUCACGUUUGAUACGUUCAUAUUAAAACAUUAGAAGUUCAUUCGCAACUAGGAAAAUUAAUUGAUAUCGAUGCAACAGAUUGCAGCGCGGAAAAAUUGUUUAAUGCAUUUAAAUAUGAAAUGUGAAAAUUACAAAUACCUUUUUCAAAUAUUGUUGCCUUGUCAUGCGACAAUGCGUCCGUUAUGGUCGGAAAACAUUUAUCUUUCAAGAAAAAAUUGGAAGAGAGAUGUGCAAUAAUGUAUUGACAUUAUCAUGUCCAUGCCAUUCCGUUUCAUUAGCAUGCGUUAAGAUACCUCAAGCUUGUGAGGAAUUCUUGAAAAGAAUUACAAACUAUAUAACUUGUAGUCCCAAGCGAUGGUCUAUUUUCACCGAAUUAAGUUGAAAGAAUGUUUUGAAGAAAGGACUCACAAAAUUGUAAAGUUAUGUAAUACACGAUGACUUUUUCACCACGCGUGUAUCGACAGACUUCUUCAAUCUUGGAACACAAUACAACAUUUUUUGAAUGAAAUGAUCGUGAACGAGAAAGGUACAUCUGCAGAAAAUUUGUUGCGUCAAAUGCAAAUGUAAAUACAAAAGCAUAUUUGCUAUUUUUAAAAUAUAUAUUACAUUUUUUAAAUGUAUUUAAUGCAUUUUUCCAAGCUGAAGAAACGAGGAUACAUCUAUUACAACCAAAA